This 19166-nucleotide long non-coding RNA is filed under the name Xyrichtys novacula (pearly razorfish). Lineage: Eukaryota; Metazoa; Chordata; Actinopteri; Labriformes; Labridae. The record is from RNAcentral.
CCUUGAUGGACCAAAGGGCAAAUGGUGGUGGACGGCUCCUCUCUCUUCGCUGCAGGUGAGAAAGAUUCUGAAGAUCUUUGUACCAACAGCUAUCAGACUUUAAAACUCUUGUGUAAAUAAUAGAUAACUUUUAUAGACAUAUUACGUGAGACAACAGACAAUUGAAUUUCCCUUCGGGGAUCAAUAAAGUUCUUCUUCUUCUUCUUCUUCUUCUUCUUCUUCUUCUUACCUAUUUUCAAACUACUUCUAGUACUUCAACUUAAACUUAUGCCACUUCUCACUUUUCUGUGUUUUAAGGUAAUUUUCUUCCUUAUCCAUUUUUUUGCAAUUUCAGACAGUUUUUCUAGCCUUAUUCAGCAUGAAUGCAAUUUUAAUUUAUGAACCACAUUCAUACUAUUUGUACUUUCAUCUAACUUCUACUUCUGUUUCUCCAGCCCUUUAACCAAUUUUACAUUUAAACCUUCCUCCAUUUUUUUUAGCAGUUUUGCAUUGCUUUUUCAGCUUUCAGCACUCAGCACUUCCACGCAUUUUCUGCAAUGAAAUGCAAUUUUUCUAUUUUCUAUUAUUAUUCUUCCGUACCUUUUUUGCAACUUUAAUUUCUUCUUUUUUUUUUUCCUUAUCCAUUUUUUUUUUUUUUUUUUUUGCAAUUUCAGGCAGUUUUUCUAGCCUUAUUCAGCAUGAAUGCAAUUUUAAUUGUAGAAGCACAUUCAUACUAUUUGUACUUCAGCAAUUUUCACUUUCAUCCAACUUCUACUUUUUUUUCUCCAGCUCUUUAACCAAUUUUACAUUUAAACCUUCCUCCAUUUUUUUAGCAGUUUUGCAUUGCUUUUUCAGCUUUCAGCACUCAGCAUUUCCACGCAUUUUCUGCAAGGAAAUGCAAUUUUUCUAGUUAGUAUUGAAGUCUAGUUGUCACGUGUUAAACUACAACAUUAAAACUGUAGUGCAGUAAAUCCACAUUAGCAGGAGAACUCUCAAAACAGGAUACUUAUUUGCUCUGAACUCUGUAUCAUUCAGAAACAAGAACCACACAAGGUCCAUGUCAGUCCACAUCAACCACACAGAUCUCUCAAAGCUCAGUAUUACAGAGUCACUGUUAGAUGGAGUUAGAAAAUGUAAGAAGGAAACAAGGAUAUUUUCAAGGGAGUCUAUGAAGGCAAACACAUGAAAAACAAACCAUCUGUUUAUCAUUCCCAGCCUCAGGUUAAUUAUAUUCGAACAGAGAAAUCUUCUCAACAACCUGUAAGGACUGAGUAACAGUAAAGCUGUAGUCAUUUCUCCUGAAGUAAAUUGAAUCUGUGACAUCUAUUUAUACAGAGAUAUAGUUCAUAUAGGAUUAACAGGACAAAUAUCUGGAUAAAAUAUCCAGAUAUCCAUAACACAAACUAAACAGAAAUUAACAUCAGUUUUAUGAACAGCACUUUUAUUUUUUGAUGCAAAUGCCAUUCUUUGUAGGCAAUAAGUGACUGCAAUUACACUUACCUAGUUGUUGUAAUACAAAAUGAGCAAACAGUAAAAAUACACGCCUAUACAGAAGAAAACAGCAAGAAAAAAUACAAUAAUUAAAUACAAAUAAUAAAAUUCAAUGAAAGAGAAAUGUUUACACCUGAUCAAACUUAUCUUACCUAAGUAACACAGUGUAUAUCCUAUUUGGUAUGAAACUUGUCCAUGUGUAAUAAUCAGUAAAAAAACAAAACAAAAAAACAAAAAAAAAACAUGUAGAUGUCCUGUUGUAUAACACCGUAAAUCUUAGCCUAACAUUUUUCAUAAAACAUACCAUCUUAUGACUUAAAGCUCAGGAAUUUCUGUCUGUUAAAAUUUAUAUUUGAGGGGCAGAUUGUUUUCUGAUUAUUUUUAUUGUAAUUAUUAGGUCUAAAUUGAAAAAAGACGAGAAAUUGAAUCAAACAAAGCUGUCAUCUUAAUUAACACAGAAAUGAUUAUGACAGCUGUACGAACAGAACAGACAGACGAGUAACCUCCGUGUUUACCAUUACAUAUUCAAAGUAUGCGCACUGUAUUCACGGAUAUUUUUCUUGUAUUUUCUAAAACUUGUGAGCAGGCAAAAGGCUGGUCAAGGUCGGCGGUGAGGGAGGGGAGAGAAGAAACGUAGAGGUUCUGUAACUCACUGUAGCAAUCAAUUGAAAUCUCACCGCCAUCGGACCAACCAAGAAAACCAACAGGCAGUCGGAGAUUUUAUACCGGAAUAAUAUAGCUUUAUUUUUCACACGCGGUAGGAAACGUUAUUUUCUAAAUUGCGCUAACGUUGCUGAGCGUGAGAUUUUCUUGCUUUUUCUACACACAGAAUACAAUUUAUAGCCGACAAUGAGCUUAAAUUUGUCAUAUAUAAAUCCCUGGGCGCAAUGAAUGCUGGGAACAGUAGUCACAUGGAAACGUCCCGGUUAAUACAGCAGCAUAUUAACCAAUCAGCAGCAAGUAACGGGGGCGCCAGCAGCUCACAUUUCGUUUAUACCUGCAGAGGUACAUACACAGGUAUUUCUUAAGUGUUAGUGAGUUAAAUUAUUACCACUGUUGAAAAUGUAAAUGAAUUACUACAACACACUGUAAGUUGCUGCAGCUCUGUUCACCUCCAGCCAGCAGAUGGCGAUAUAACUCCAUGCUGAGCAUAUUUAACUCCGUGACCCAGAGAACCAGUUUACCUAUACCUGGGGUGUUUCUCAAUUCACUGAUAUGGAUCUACAUUAUUUAUUAUUAUUAUUAUUUUUUUUUUUAAAUAAAAGUAAAUGUAAGAUAUCCUUGUCAUCAGAUUUUACAGUUAGGCUUUCAGAGUUAGCCAUGAUGCUAACCUGUGAUUAUUAUAUGUUACACUCAGACUUCUAACUCAGCCCUGUGACUGAUGUUUCAGAUUUUUGUCAAUUAAUUUUCUUCAAGUUUAUCAGUAUGAUGUUGGAUCUGUGUGCGGGUUGUAUGGUGAUGGAGUAAAUUUAUCACGAAUCAGUAAUAUAUUCACUCUGAACAUUGAAACACAUAAAAACAUAAAACUCUCCGUAAACAGUGUCUGUAAGCAGUUUAACUAUCACCUGAACAGACACAGUAUGGACCUAUUAUCAGAUUAUAAGACAUGUUGACAAUUGAAGCUUAUAAUCAGAAUAUAUUUACUUUUAAUGUUUGUUUCUGUGCUGUUUUGCUUCUGUGUGUAUUUUCACAUUUGAUGUUGUGUUAUUCUAUGAAGUCCCAAACCCCACUAAUAUUAGAAAUGUAAUUAAAACUUCUGGACCCAUUUUAAGCAUUUCACCAUGAGAGUACAGGACUUUCUUAUAGGUCUUGGUGUGACACAUGUUCCUUAGUUUUCACACAUGCAUGUACUUUUUAACCCCAGUGGAGGGGACAAACUUUUUGAAGAUUUUGGGGGUGUUGUGGGGCCAGUUUUGCUAUAUAUUCUUUUUUUGAUAACUCAAAGCCCAAAUAAUAACACGUUUUUUUACCAUGCCCAAUGUGUGAUUUUGUGAAGUUUUGGGGCAUUUUAAGCAAGGAAGUUGAAAAAUUGGGGGCUCCAGUGUACGCAGGCCCUGAAAAAGAGUGGUGAUUGUGUGUGUAGAAAUGGUAAAGGUUAUUCUGACUGAAUCACAGGGAGUUGACUGUGCACUCACAUCCGACUAAUACACUCAGUGAGGUGGAGCCGUCUGUGUAUGUGUGUGCUUGCACGCAUGUGUGUGUAAAUGUGAUUAUAACAUCAUUUGAUGGAGGCUGCUGGUGUCAGAGUGUCUGUAAUUUAGAGGAUUGAUUUACACUUAGUCAUGUGAUCAGCAGGCUCUUGAUGUCACUCUGAUCAAGUUUGUGACUCAACUGAAGAUAUCAUGAUGAUGAUAAUAGUAUAAUGUGGUAUGAGAGGUUUCAGCUGCUGCAGAUCAUAAAAAAAUCUUAAAGUUUUUAACCCUUGAGAAAAACCUUCGCAGUGAAAAUGAGCAGUCAUAUUAUUCCUGCUAACCCCCAUCUGCACUUAUGAAAAACAGUUUAGGUUUUCUCACUCUCAAAACAGGCUGCAGACACAGCACCUCCUUCUCAUCACUGAAGAUUUCAACCAUGCCUCUUCUUCCUCAACUCUGCCCAAUAUCUAUCUGAGAUCUGGGGCAUACUCCACAUCUCCUCUUCCUCUUAGGAAGAUCUGAUCAUACAAAACCCAAUUCCAUUGAAGUUGGGAAAUUGUGAUAAACGUAAAAACAGAAUAAAAUGAUUUGCAAAUCCUUUUCGACCUACAUUCAAUUUAAUACGCUACAAAGACAAUAUAGUUAAUGUUCAAACUCAUAAACUUUUUUUGUUGUUGCAAAUAAUCAUAAACUUUAGAAUUUGAUGGCAGCAACACGUGACAAAGAAGUUGAGAAAGGUGGCAAAAAAUACUGUGAAAUUUGAGGAAUGCUCAUCAAAGAGUUCUUCUUAGUCUUAUUAGUUGGAACAUCCCACAGGUGAGCAGGUUAAUUGAGAACAGGUGGGUGCCGUGAUUGGGUAUAAAAGCAGCUUCCCCAAAAAUUCCCAGUCGUUCACAAGCAAGGAUGGGGCGAGGUUCACCACUUUGUGAACAACUGCGUGAGCAAAUAGUCGAACAGUUUAAGAACAACGUUUCUUAAAGUACAAUUGCAAGGAAUUCAGGGAUUUCAACAUCUACGGUCCAUAAUAUCAUCAAAAGGUUCAGAGAAUCUGGAGAAAUCACUGCACGUAAGGGACACGGCCUGAAACCAACAUUGAAUGCCCGUGACCUUCGAUCCCUCAGGCGGCACUGUAUCAAAAACCAACAUCAAUAUGUAAAGGAUAUCACCGCAUGGGGUCAGGAACACUUCAGAAAACCACUGUCAGUAAAUACAGUUUGCUGCUACAUCUGUAAGUGCAAGUUAAAACUCCACUAUGCCAAGCGAAAGCCAUUUAUCAACAACAUCCAGAAACGCCACUGGCUUCUCUGGGCCCCAGCUCAUCUAAGAUGGACUGAUGCAAAGUGGAAAAGUGUUCUGUGGUCUGAAGAGUCCAUAUUUCAAAUUGUUUUUGGAAAUAGUGGAUGUCGUGUCCUCUGGGCCAAAGAGGAAAAGAACCAUCCAGACUGUUAUCGACGCAAAGUUCAAAAGCCAGCAUCUGUGAUGGUAUGGGGGUGCAUUAGUGCCCAAGACAUGGGUAACUCACACAUCUGUGAAGGCAACAUUAAUGCUGAAAGGUACAUACAGGUUUUGGAGCAACAUAUGGUGCCAUCCAAGCAACGUCUUUUUCAUGUACGCCCCUGCUUAUUUCAGCAAGACAAUGCCAAGCCACAUUCUGCACGUAUUACAACAGCGUGGCUUCGUGGUAAAAGAGUGCAGGUACUCAACUGGCCUGCCUGCAGUCCAGACCUGUCUCCCAUGUGUGGCGCAUUAUGAAGCGUAAAAUACGACAACGGAGACCCUGGUGUUGAACAACUGAAGCUGUACAUCAAACAAGAAUGGGAAAGAAUUCCACCUUCAAAGCUUCAACAAUUAGUCUCCUCAGUUCUGAAACGUUUAUUGAGUGUUGUGAAAAAGAAAGGUGAUGUAACACAGUGGUAAACAUGCCCCUGUCCCAACUACUUUGGCACAUGUUGCAGCCAUGAAAUUCUGAGUUAAUUAUUAUUCUCAAAAAAAAAAAAAAUAAAGUUUAUGAGUUUGAACAUUAAAUAUCUUGUCUUUGUAGUAAAUUCAAUUGAAUAUAGGUUGAAAAGGAUUUGCAAAUCAUUGUAUUCUGUUUUUAUUUAUGUUUAUCACACUUUCCCAACAUUUAUGGAAUUGGGUUUUGUACAUAAUCUGGUGCGCGUCCAGCCAGCGUACAAACCUCGGGUCCACAGACAACCAGCAGUGACACACACAGUUAAAAGAUGAUCUGAAGAGGCUCUAAAAGAUGGUUUUGCUUCAACUGUGUGGGAAGUGUUCUGUGAGGAUCACGGGGGGGACAUUGACAGUCUCACACACUGCAUCAUGGACUAAACGGAUUUCUGUGUUGACAACACUGUUCCCAUCAAAAUGGUACAGUGUUUUGCCAACAACAAGCCAUGGAUCACUCCUGACAUAAAACCUCUCUUGAAGGACAAAAAGAGGGCUUUUCAGUGUCAACAAGGAGAAGAUAAAGACUGUACAGAAGGAACUCGGGAGGAAGUUCAGAGAGGGAAAAAACUGCCAUAGGAGGAAGAUAGAGGACCAGCUGCUGAGAGAAAUGUCAGUGGAUUUUGGAGGGGCCUAAAAACCAAUCUGUGGUCACAAGGCCUCAACAGCUGUGUCAAUAAGGGACCAGGAUUAGGUGGGCAACCUGAACACCUUCUUUAACUGGUUUAAACAGCCAGCCACCCCUCCCCCUGCCCAACCCAACCCAUCCUACUGCAACCACCACCAUUCACACCUCCUGCUGACUCUAUGACCCCCGCUCUCACGACUCUCCCUGUCAUACCCUCACAACCCCCCCUACACAUCCUCUGCUUCCCUCUGAGUGGCCUACACCCAUCAGCACUCAGUCGCCCAGCUCCAGCCUGUCCUUCUCCAUGUCCCAGGUAGAGAGCAAACUGAAGAGGCUGAAGGUCAGGAAGGCUUCAGGUACAGAUGGCAUCAGCUCCUCAGAUCCUGCACAGACCAGCUGUGUGGUAUUAUGGAGCACCUUUACACCAUAAGCCUGAAGCUAGGCAGGGUGCUCCUGCUGUGGAAGACCACCUGUGUGGUACCAGUGCCAAAUCUCCCUCACUCCCAUGACUUCAACCAUGACAGUCCAGUGGCACUGACAUCACACCUUCUGGAGACCCUGGAGAGACUGGUCUUGUGUCAUCUUUUCCCCCCUGGUGAGCUCAUCAAUGGACCCGCUGCAGUUCGCCUAUCAGCCAGGCAUCAGGGUGGAUGAUGCUGUUAUCCUGCAAUGAUCUCUCUCUCACCUGGAUAGGACUGGGAACACUGUGAGGAUCCUGUUCUACAAUUUCUCCAGUGCCUUUAAGGCUGUACAGCCUGGCCUAACAGAGGGUUAUAUAUCUCCACUUAUUCUCUUAAUUUCAAUAUUUUUCAGCAGAUGAAAAAUGAUCAAACAGAUUUUAAGAUGAAAAUCUUGUGCUGACAGACACCGUUUCUGAGGGUUUGUUUACAGUAUUUGACAAAUGUGGCUGAGUCUGAUCAUAACGUUAAAGUUCCAGUUUCACUUCAGCUCUUUAGGGUUUAAAACAAGAGAUAAACUGAUGUAGAAGCACUGAUGUCAUACUAAACUCUAUAUACAGUUGGAGCUGGAGUCUGAUUCAUCGAGUGUUUGUGCUGUGAGCCGAUAACAAACAGGUUCAAUAACCAUAAAGACUUCAGACAUCAAACAUCACUUUAUCUCCUUUUCCAUCAUCUUUUACCUGCUCCUUCAGUCAAGUGUACUCACCUCCUGAGGACAAACUGAAACCAUAAAAACCUGAGAGACAUCACAAAGCUGCAUUCAGCACCCUAAGGGGUUAUUUUAGGAGGAAUAAAAGGUUUAACAUCAGAGGAGAGGGAAGUUGUUCACUGGAGCAAACAGCAUCAUAAAAAAGAUUAACACCAUCGAAAAAAGCUAAAAGAAUAAUAGAAAUUAACCUAAUUUAAUAAACAGCAUCACAAGCUGAUGAUGGAGCUGCAGGGCGGAUCAUAAAUAAAAAGUUUAAGAUGUUCAAAUUACUAAGUCUCUGUUCAGGUUGUUUUUUUUAUGUUUGCCCUGAGCCAUCAAACACAAUGUGCAGAAGGUUUUAGAUUAUCAAAUCAGUAUUAAUGCUAGAAGACUGAAUAUCAAAGCUCAGACUGUAAGAAUGAGAGGUAUUGCGAAGACAUCCUACAAACCAAAAAAGACCCUGGAGUGAAAGUGAGGAUACUGGGACAGGACCUGGGUGACAACUCAAAGGCUUCCAAACAACAAACUAGAACCCAACAAGUGAAACUGUCCUAAUACUGUCACCAUUACAUCAUUUCACAAGUAGAGUUGACUCAGAGGAGGAUUGAAAACAUAGAUUGUAUAAAACAUCAGAUUCCUGAUCAGAUGAAUCAUCCUCCUUCUGCUGCUUCUCCUGAAUCACCUCUCCGUCUUUUUGCAUUUAAAGGAUUUCUUCAACAGCAGCUGACCAUCACAAUAACUCACUCAUAAAACACCAUUUAACAUUGUCAGAGAUCUGUGUAUGAGUCAUUAAACACUGAAUAAUUUAAAGCGUUAAAAAUAAGUUCUUCUCAUUCAGUCUCUGGGGUCUUCUUAAUGAGCAGCUCAGCGGUGAUCAGUGAGUCUGUCCGCUGCUGAGGGAGAAUAAUGUGUGGAUAAUAAUCAGACAGUAAAUGUUUAAUCGUCUGUUUCUGAUUUAUAAAAGUAAAACGGGACAGAGCUGUCAGCAGUCUGAGUCAGUCUCAUCACAUCUUCAUUAACCAACAUCCUGAGAAUAUCUCCAUCAGCACUCUUACCCAUCAUGCAUCUAGGCGUUCCUGUCUCUCAGUCCGCAGCAGGAACACUUUAGAUAAUGAAUAUGAGCGGGAGGUUGCAGAUCUUUACUGCAGAGAGACCCUCUGUCUGCAUCCAGAAACAACAUCAGCAUCUCUUCUUUCAUUAGCAGGUUUAAUAAAAAGGGUUCAAUGAGGAGGUCUCUGUCCGUGUUUAAAAACUAGGCUUGUGUGUCAUCAGUCCACUUAUAAGAAGAUGUCUUCAUAUAUUUUUGAAAGUCCACUUUAUGUGAACAUCCAUGACUAUGUGAGGCCCUGCCUGUCUCCUCUAUGAUCAGGAUUAUUGAUAAAAUUAUUGCAAAAGGGAAACUAUGAACCAAGCUGGUCCAGGAAAAACAGGCCCAAAAUGGCAGCAUAUGUUUCCCCCAAACCUUUAGCAUUGAUGGAGCCUUCACAGAUGUGACAGUUAGCCAUGGCAUGGGCACUAACAAACUCUCAGACCAUCACAGAUACUGGCUCUGAACUUUCACCUUAUAACAAUCUGAAUGGUCCUCUUCUUCUUAAGACCUGAAGACACCACAUCCAUGAUUUUCAAAAACUGUUUGAAAUGUGGACUUGUUAGACCACAGCAGACUUUUCCACUUUGAGUCAGUCCAUCUCAGAUGAGCUUGGGACCAGAGAAGCUGGAGGGGUUUCUGGUUGUUGUUGAUAUCUGUCAUUUUCUUUGCAUGGUAGAAUUUCAACUUGGAGAUGUGGAGUUGAACUGUGUUAAGUGAAUGUUACCCCUGAGUGGUCCACAUUGUAAAAUCCUUUACAGAAUGAUGUCAGUUUUUAAUGCAGUCCUGUCUGAGGGGUCAAAGGUCACAGUCAGUUCAUGUUGGAUUUAGACCUCUCUGCUCACGUGUGGAGAUUUCUCUAGAUUCUCUGAAUCUUUUGAUGGUAUUUUCUAUUCUAGAUGAUCAAAUCUCUAAAUUCCUGCUGUUGUACAUUGAGAAACAUUGUUCUUAAACUGUUGGACUAUUACUGAUGCAGUUGUGGACAAAGUGGUGAACCUUGCCCCAUCCUUGUUUAUGAAUGACCGAACCUUGGGAUGCUCCUUUUAUACCCAGUCAUGACAUCCCCCGUUUCCAAUGAACCUGUUCACCUGUGGAAUGAUCCAAACAGGUGUUUUUGGAGCAGUCUUCAGUUUCCCCAGACUUUUGUUGACCCUGCUCCAACUUUUUUUGGAAGGUGCAGCAGCAUCAAAGUCAAAAUGUGUGAAUAUUUGCCAAAAAGAGUUUAUCAGUUUGAACUUUAAGUAUCUUGUCUUUGAGGUGUAUUCGGUUGAAUAUAGAUGGAAAGGGAUUUGAAAAUCUUUGUAUUCUGCAUUUAUUCAUCUUUUACUCAAUGUCCCAACUUCAUUGGGAGUGGGGUUUAGAUGAAAAUGCAUUUUGGGCUACAUUUGUUGUUGUCACCUGACAGUCUGAACAACUUAGUUUAGACAGAGAGAUGAGAUGACAUUAUUGGUGCACUUUCAUGGGGUGCUGGAUUGUCUACCCAGUACAGACGAAACCAAUUACAUUUUAUUGUCACAGAGUAGUCACAUCAGCUAAUAUGCUUCUCAAAUAAAUAAUUAUUAAGUCAUUGUUUUUCACUCAUCAUUUAUGAAUUUAUUUGCAACUGCAUCUGCACUGUAAGGAUUUCAUGCAGCUUCUUGACCUGGAGUGUUAUUUAUGAGAUUGUUUCUUGAAUACCCUAGUGAUAAACAAACAAAUGCCUUUGAGAAGUAACACAGCAGGGGGGAUAUGAAUAAGAAUUAUAAUAAUCUUGAUUCUAUUUUGAAGAAAAUCUCAAUCCUCUUUGCAAUGUGACAUUAGAUGUUAAAUAAUGUUGCUGUAUUCACUCAGUGUAAUUCACUGUUUGGAGAACAUACCCUGCCUUUGUCUUUUUGCAACUUCUUUUUCUGCUUGGGAAAGUCUGAACCCUCCUCUCUGUUUCUCACCUUGAGAAAUGCAGAGUGAAACUUUCCUCUUUCCCAGGGUCCAGUAUGAACUUUAGGGAAAAAUCCUGCAAGAUGUCCUGAUCUUAAGAACUUUCCAAGAAUCUUGUUCCUUGAAUCAACCCUUUGUUUCAGGAAUCUUUAUGAAUACAGCCCCUGAUGUUUUUCUCUGGUUAAACAGAGCUAAAAUGAGAAAUGCAUUUAUUCAGCUCUAUGGUAUUGUGUAUUCAGAAAUAUCAAGUGUAUGACAGUAUAUCCACUGUCUUGAUGGUGAAAUGAUUUGGUAUUUGACCCUCAAAGAAUUUCUACAAUUAGAUUAAUUCACUACCCACCAUGCAAUUGUGUAGUUAGAACUGUAUUUCUCUAAAACUGAUCUGGCAGUGUUGAAGGCUCAGCUCCAGCAGAACAAAACCAUCUUAGGUGUUAAAUCUGUGUGCUAUCCAUGCUCUAGUAGUAAGAUGUCAUGAAAACCAACCAGAUUUGGCCUUUUUAAUUGCAAGCUUGUCCACAAACCAGUGCGACGAAUGUACCCACAGAAUCCUGCCAAGUGUCUAUGGGUGUUCAGUAGUGACCACAUUAAAAACAUGGGGUUAAAACCAAAGUUCACACAAGGAAAAAGGAAAUAUGUGAAAUCCAUAGAUUCUUAACUUUUAUUGUUCAUGUACUAUACAGAGUCUAAAGGUAAAACAAGGUAAGGAAGGAAGAUUAUAUUCAUGACUGGAGGGAGGUGAUUAUACUGCAAUUGUCCCAGCAUUUUUUAGUGUGUCCUUCGCAUCAGAAAGGACAUAAUACUUCUGCUUGAUUGGCACACUCAGACUCAAAAGUACCCAAAAAACACGAAGAAGACAAAUAUGGCAACAGUGGAAAAGAUAUCAAUCAGCUAUCUGCAGAAACAAAGUCAGAGUCUGCGUCCAUGUCACCAUUUAAAUGUUUCACAACAUAUGAACAGAGAAUCAACUUUUCAAAGUAUGAUGUUAUUUUAUGUCUAACACAGUGUAUGGUCUACCAAAUCAUAAAGUGUGCAAAGAAUAUCUAGCAGAUUUGUUUGAGCCCUUCAUGCACCCAUCUCUGCAGACUUAGCGUGAAUGCAUUACCCAGAAGUCAUAGCAUUGCAAUGUAACCAUGGGAUCUCCAGGGGAAGCCCACAAGCGAAGAGGGGAAAAGAACACCAUGACACAGAAAUUCAAAAGAAUAUGGUAAAUAUGAAGCAUGGAAGGUGCAAUGUUGACACUUAAGAAAUAAGUUUGGCUGUAAGUAUAAAUUAAAAAAAAGGCCAAGUCACAAUGAUACGACUGUUGUUACCUCAGCAAAAAUGAUGAGAAGCUCAUUCAUAAGAAAACCUAAAAUUGCCUCUAAAUUGUAAGACUCAGACAGUGUUUUCUUUACCUAUUUUUCAAUUAAUGAAAAUAUUGCAAAAUCACCCUUAGUGCGAGAUAAGUCAAUUUUUGGCCAUACAGCAAAACUUUGUAAUGAACAGAAAAUAAAACAGUUGCAUCAAAGUUUCAGGGCAUGACUUUUUAAACCGAGAUUCUUAUUGGAAAAAUGUAUUAAAAAGGACUGUGCAAAACCCAUACCCUAAAGAUAACCUCGUCUGCAGUCGCUCAUAUCUCUUCAUGGUACAGCCCUCUGGUCAAUGACACACAUAUAUGCACACAAGCACAGAUGGUGUCUCAGUGGGAAUGAUGGCCUUUCACACUCUGAGGACUCUCAGUUUGUCCUCUUGCAGCCCUCACUACAUUUGUCAUUUUCUUCUUCUUCUUCUUCUUCUUCUUCUUCUUCUUCUUCUUCUUCUUCUUCUUCUUCUUCAUCUUCUUCUUCUUCUUCUUCUUCUUCUUCACUUUUUCCUCUUCCUUGCUUUCUUUUUUCACUUUCUCACUUGUUAGUUCAUCCUCAGACUGCAUGGGUUCAUUAAGAUUUGAUUCUCUGAGUUUGCUUCAGAGUGUUUACCUCUCUGUGUGAGUGCAGGGUGAGUGGACAGUUUUUAUUUCUCCAUGAGUUAAAAAGAGACUGGCACUUUUAAAGUCUGUCACAUCUAGAUGAAGGUUGAUGGUUCCUCUCCCUCUCAAUGUUUCUGAACUACGAGCAGAGAGUACACAGUGUCUGUGCUGCAGUCUCUUUAAUCAAAUUGGAGUCAGAGUGAAGAGGAGAAAUGCUUAUUUCUCUGUCAUCCAGCUGCUCUGAGCAGUAAAUAUUGAUCCCAGGUUAAAGCCAAUCAGAGUAAUGGAGGCCUGGCUUUGGAUGCAGUUUAUAGAAUAAAGAUGGAGGAGAGUUCAGAGCGGCUGGUCCUGAUUUAAAGAGCUCCACUGUCUUACUGAAAUAAGCCUUUAAUACGUCUUAGAGAGGAUAAAGCACAUUAUACAGCACCCAGCCCCAUCCUGAGCAAGGAGAUCUGCUGCCAAUGCUCCAAGCCCUCAGCCAGGAUCCAACAGAGCCAAGAAUUAACAAAACCAGGACCAGACAAAGCUGGGAUCAAACAGAACCAGGAAUGAACAGAACCACGACCAAAAGCAAAAUCCAGUGCAGAGCAAGGAGAGUGUCAGGUCUCAGACUGUCAGGAUACACAGCGAUGUAUUUUUGAAGAGAAAAGAAAGUGUAGGGAGUCGGUGUAGUCUCUGUCUAAAAGAAAACAUAAUGGUCCAGGGGACGAUGCCUGCAGGUCACAACUACGACUCAUUUGUGGCAAUGUUGAGAAGGAGGAAGAAGAUGAAGGAGAAGUAAUUGGCUCAUCUACUGGUUGGAACAGAAAAUGGAAUCAUCAUCUUUCACCAGAGUAUUCACUGCAUGAACGAAAGAGAAACACCCAAUUCAAUCAGUUUUGGGAGUUUCUGCUUUUGCUUUACUGUUCAUUUAAUAAAAAAAAAGUUUCCCACAGAAGCGCCCAGUAGGAUCAUCUAGGAUCCAGUAUGUUGUCCUUUAAAUGAGAUCAAUGAAUAAGUACUUCAGAGAAAGAUGAGAGCAAGAUUCUGCAAAGCGUUGCCCCAGUUACACAGCCACUGACUGAGGCACUUUAUGAUUCCUCCUGUUUUUGGUGUAUAAGUUGGUCAUUUUUGCUUUCAUACUUCAAAACAAACUGUACCUGGAAGUAAGCUGAGACCAGAGUUCAUGUGUUCGGUCUGUGAUUUACUCUUGCCCUCAGUCUCUCUGAAGCAAAGAGCGAAGAUGUUACCUUGAACGUGAUCAUGUUAACCUUUACCUGUGAGGGUGAUGACUGUUCACUGACACAUUGACGCUGGUAGUUAAUCAGGACAGAACCAGUGUGUAUGUGUUUCCUGCAGAUGGUAAACUCUACAGGGGGCUGAUUCAUUUAAUUCAGGGAGCCAUGAUGCUCUGGGCAAAGCCUAAACACCCCCCCCCCCACACACACACACACACACACACACACACACACUUAGAGUUAUUUUUUUUACCAGCUUAGUGGAAUAAAGACAGAUCUAAUCUUCCUUUCUCUAUAGUAACUGAAACCAAACUCACUUCUUUUCAAAAUAAAUCACCCCCGCCUUUCAAAAUAAAUGUGUGAUGUUUGUUCACACAAUCCUGUGUUAGUGGGGAAUGUAAACAGUCUGACAGUUUCACCUUACAUCAACAUUGGGACCCCUGUGGCCCUCAGUUUCACUCUGAACCCUGACUCUGCUCUGUGAAGAGGUUUGACAGGACUCACACAGGGGCACACACUGAUACACACGUGUUUGUGUGUUUGUGCAGGCGUGAAUAUGUAUGUGUGGGGGUGCAUGUGCAAGGGGGCAAGUUUGCAUAACAUACAUACACAAACGUGUGAGUACACCCUUCAUAUGACUGACAUAUAAGUAUGUGUGUGUGUGUGUGUGGGGGGGGGGGGGGGGCAGGCUCAUGUUUUCAGUUUAAUAUUUCAUAUUCUGUCAGGGUUCAAGCCAAAAUGAAACUUAUUUUAUAACAAACACUCAAGAAUACAGCAAAAACUUUCAGAAAACACACUGAGGUGCUGGUAUGUAAAGACCUAGAUGUGGUCAUUGACACCACUUUUAUGUUUGUCUGAAUAUUCAGGGUGUGUAAUGAUUUAGAUAAAGUAAUAAAGCCAAGAUCUUAGCACCAAGACUAAAGUCAUUUUGAAAAAUCUAGCCUUUAGACUUUGUCUUAAAUCAACCGCUUCAUCUAUCAGCCUGUCUCAACUCAGAAAACAUGUUCAAACAUGAACUUUAUCCCAGUGUAAACAUCACCCUGCAUGACAUCACAUACAGGGUUUAAGGCAGAGUAAAAUCCAUGCUUUCACGAUGUGUAAGCCACAUUCUGACCCUACCAUCUGAAUGCCAUGAGACUUAUCAAACCAGGCAACAUUUCUCCAAUCUUUUAUGGUGAGCCUGUGUGAACUGUCGCCUCAGUUUCCUUUUCUUGGCUGACAGGUGUGGGACCUGGUGUGGUCUUCUGCCGCUGUAGUCCAUCUGUUUCAAGGUUUGCCAUUUUGUGCAUUCAGAGAUGGUAAUCUGUGUCCCUUGGUUCUAACGGGUGGCAAUUUUGACUUAUUGUUGCCCUUCUAUCAUCUUACACCAGUCUGGUCCUCUGACCUAUAACAUCAACAAGGUAUUUUUAUCCACACACAUGCAGCAUCCUGGAUAUUUUCUAUUUUUCAGACCAUUCUCUGUAAACCCUUGAGAUGGUUGCGGGUGGAAAUCUCAGUAGAUCUGCAGUUUGUGAAAUACUCAGACCAGCUUGUCUGGCACCAACAAUCAUGCCAUGUUGAAAGUCUCUUAAACCCCCUUUUCCCCAUUCUGAUACUGAACUUCAGCAAAUUGUUUUGACCACAUCUAUAUGUCUAACUGCACUGAGUUGCUGCCUGUGAUUGGCUGGUGAGCUAUUUAUUUUAACAAGCAAUUGAACAUAACCUAAUGAAGUGGCCAGUGAGUGUGUAUUACUCGUCCAUCCAUCCAUCCAUCCAUCCAUCCAUCCAUCCAUCCAUCCAUCCAUCCAUCCAUCCAUCCAUCCAUCCAUCCAUUAAUCAAUUAUCCAUCUACACUGCAUAAAUCCAUGCAUCCAUUAAUACUUCAUCCAUCGAUCUAACAUCUAACCAUGCAUCAGUCUAGCCCUCAUCUAUCUGACAUCCAUCCACACAACCAUCCAACAUUCAUUCAUCCAUCCAACAUCCAACUGUACAUCCAUCCAUCUGGCUCCCCUUACUUCCAUCUAGCCAUCCAUCCCUAUAACUAUCCAUCAUCAAGUCUUCCAUAAAUCUAUACAUUAAUUUGUGUGUGUGACACCCAUCCCUUAUUCAUUUACCAAUCCAAGAGUGAUGUAUCCAUCCAUCCAUCCAUCCAUCCAUCCAUGCAUGUGGCAUCUGUUAACCAUUUAACCAUCAGUUUGUCCAAUCAUUUAUCUACAGAUCCAUUGAUCAUCUAUCCAUCCAUUACUUCAUCCAUCCAUUCAUCUCUCUGGCGGCAAUCAAUCCAUCUGUUCAUCCAUCCAUCAUCCAUCCAUGUUUUUUUCUUUUAUAUAUCCUAACUGGGUUAAUUUUUAAAAACAACUUGAUGUUAACUUCCCUUUUGCACAAUACCGCUGAUGAGGAGUUUUGGAUAUAACCUUAGACCUUUGAUUUGUGUACAGACUUUUAAAACCAGAAACAAUUUGGGAGAAACUUGUGAUUUAUGCAUCUAUGUACCAAAUGAUUUUAUUUAGUCCAGAUUAGUGACAGUGGGUAUUUAUUUAUUUAUUUUUACUUAAUCAAUCGGAAUUUCUCUCAUGCAUGUUUUCACUUCUGUGCUGAUGACACUGUAAGCAUCUCCACCAAACUAUCUCCCUCCAGCUUACAGCUUUAAUAGAGGAGUUUUAGUGAAGAGUAUGAGGAUUAACAGGAGGUUGAAGCUGUUUUUAUGAUCCUUUCUGCAUGCUAACACAGGGUGUAUUUCUUUGCUCUUGCAUGUGUGCUGUUAUCAUUCUAUGUAGACAGAGGGUUAGGCAGAUUGUAGGCUCUCAGAGAUCAUUUAUACUGAACACUGCAGACAUGUGAUUGUUAGCUUCAGGCCUGCUAUGUGAGGGUUUAUUGAUCUCAUGUCUUACUGAUGAUCAUGUUAGAGAGCCUCUAUGUGGUUAAUUGAUGAUUAAAUUCUUCCAGAUGCUUUCUAAACACUUUUGGUUGUGGGUUCAGAAACAGAUGGAGUAUCUGAUAUGGGCAUAAACCUCUACCUGGCAAGAUGAUGAAACUUGAUUUGAUCAUUGAUGGUUAUGAUUUGAUACAUAAAGACAGAUUCAAUCUGCAGUGAAGAUCUUAAAGAAGUGAAAGAGUGUGCCAGUCUUUAGUGGGGCUUCUUGCUUGAGAAUAUAUUCAGCUUUUUGAGUCAGAUAUGAAGGUAAUUCACAGAAUCCUCUCAUGAGAUUGGUUAUUACACUGAACCGUUCAGUUCAAAGAUGCCCACUUAAAAAACAAAAAAAAAACAAUUAAAUCUUGCCAGAAUAUGUGCUUCAUGCAAGAAGUACCAUUUUAUGGCCAGAAAAGUAUGUAUUUCUGACUAAUUCUUAUUUAUUUCUUGCAAGUUAUGGAGAAUACCCACCCCUAACUUACAACAAUGAAAAUCAGUGCUCUGAUAAAUAUUACCAUAUUUGUCCCCUGCUCAGUCUGUUGUAGUUGAUGACAGACUUUAAUUCAGGUCAUAACUCCGGCUGGGAAUUACUAAUUAUAAUGUGACUCUGUGUGAAGCAGGUGUCUUACCUGAGGGCAGUUUACCUGUGUGGUCUCUCCCAGAUUAAAAUGAACAUUUGGAGGAUCUGCUGUUGGAACUGUGAUCAGCAUGCCUGUCAUUAAAUUUGCUCUGAGGGCUUUAGCUCAUGUGGAGCUGAGGAAGAGGAGGAAGAGGGGGUAUUUAAUCAUAGAGGAAGCUGAGCAGUUAUUUAGACUCUUGGUACAAUCUGAAUGAGAAGCACAGCUACACACCAAUCUUUGCAAGUGCAAAUCAAAUCUUUGAGGACAAUGGUUGGUCACUGUUGAGUCUCUCAUUGUUUUGAUAAUCAGAUGCUUUGUAGUCAUGAAAUGGGUCAUUGUAUCAGGUGGAAUCUACAGUAUAAUUCCACUUAUUCUAUAUAAUAUUACUUUAAAACUUUUAUUAUUCAUCAUAGCAACUGGGAAACACACCAUGCCUUUAUUUGAGACAGGCAUCAAGACCUACUGAGCAAUUUUUGGUCUAAGAGAUCUAAUAGACGUCCAAAUGUAGCCUAGAAUCUAGGCCCUAGAUGACUGUCUAAAAUCAGGCUAUCGCAGGUCUGAAAAUGAAAGUUUUUUUCGACGUCUAAAUUCAGACCAAGUGUAGGCCAAGUCUAAAUCUGGGCUAUAUCUAUACUACACUGUAUAUUGCUCAACGGCUAUCAUAAUUAUUUUGGUUAAGUACUUGGAGAUCAGUUAUGCAACUCACAGUUGUUUUUUGAAAUAAAUAGUUAUUGAAUAAUGGGUUAAAGUGCAACAUCUAAAUUCUGUCUGAAAUUAUACAGAAUCUAGACAGUUGAAAUUAGACCUCAAAAGAAACUAGACGUCUAAUAGCCAUCUGUUGCUCAGUGGGGAAGAGAGAGAUCUUAAAUUAUUUGCUCAUGGUGGCUCUAUAACCUUUGAUAUCUUGGUAUGUAACAGGAGGUUACUGUUACUUCUCAAUUCAUAUAUGUGGUCGACAAAUACAUGGUACUAACUUUUAUAUGUAAUGUCCAAUCUGAUCCAAAUUUUACAGGUUUAGUAGUGGUCCCGGCCUGAAUUGAUUUACAUGUAUAUUUUUGUCAUAUUAAUGAUUAGAUGCAAGCACUAUUAACUCUCAUAUGCACUAUUGAACAAGCCUUUAGCAGUUGAGGACAUUAAAUGAAACAUGCAUGCUGAUCUACAUAUUUUAGGUCCAAAGUGAUUGCACCAGCUAUGGGUGCAGUGUUGCAGUUGCUGCACUACCACAGCCUUUUCACAACUGGCAGUUGCAACAUGACCAGAUGUGUGCGAAAGCGCAAAUUCCUAAUAAUGGAAAAAGAAAACAAAAAAAAAACAAAACAUGGCACUAAUAACCAGAUGAAGAUGAUCUAGAGGCAGCUUCUAUUUUAGAUCUGCAUUCUGAAUAGAGUCAUAGGAUUCAACUGGGACCGGUGUUUCAUCAAUGUUACAGGAUGUUUAUUAGUCUUUGACUAGUUUUUUGAUUGUGUUUUGUUGCUCUUUUAUCCGCACACACACACAAACACACACACACACAUCCUUUCUGCUGGAUGAGUCAGGGUCAGAGCAGCAGGUGAACUUCCCAUGAUGUCAGUGCUUUUCUACUUUUGUGUGUGUGAGUGUGAGUGUGUCUGCACCAUCUGUCUCCUCAUGCAGACUCUCUCUGGUAAAUUAAUAGAUGUUCAGAAUAGGCUGAGUUUUUGUUUUAUCAAGCUAAACACAGACAGUGAAACUUAAAGAAACAUCUGAUAUCAUUUAUUUAAACUCUCCUGGUCAGAUUAAAGCUGACACUACCUGCUCUUUUUAAAUCUGGAGGACAGGUGAGUUUUUCAGGUUCCCUUAAACCAGCUUUCACUCUUUUCUGUCUUCUUUAAUUCUUACCAUAUGACCACAUAAUAAGACAACAGAGACACUCAAAGCAGAACAAUUCUGCUCACAUAAGGAGUUAACAUGCACUCCUUUUUACAGCACUCCCUCUUCUCCUUUCUCUCUUUUUUCUGUCUUUGCAGGUUCUUCGUCUGAGCAUUUGUUUCCAUCAGCAAAGAAAGUGCCAGAAAAAAUAAAUCCACUUUCCCCACUUCAUGUCUUAAGCUUACCUGCUGCCAAAUCUGCUGUCAGCUCUUCUAUCAAAGCAGCAUCUCUGUCCUGUUAGUGUUCAUAAAACCACAAAUAGGUUUAUUAAUGAUUAUAGAUG